Molecule: long non-coding RNA, 185 nt
Organism: Euleptes europaea (tarantolino)
Lineage: Eukaryota; Metazoa; Chordata; Lepidosauria; Squamata; Sphaerodactylidae
Exons: 3
Source: RefSeq, a predicted model, not a curated record
AGAGCUUCCUUGCCGGCUGACACCCUGCUAAAACAUGGUGUGACUCAUAAUAGGCGCCUGCCGCUAUGUGGCUAGGAAAAUAGCAGCUUCCCUGCGCCGGGAGGAUCUGGGAGAGCCUAUAUCGGUGUGCAAGAGUCGGAUCUGCCAACCUGGCCACCAAAACUCCAUAACAGGCAACCAAAACC